RNAcentral lists this ribosomal RNA (797 nucleotides) under human gut metagenome. Its description in RNAcentral is "bacterial SSU rRNA". It matches the Rfam family "Bacterial small subunit ribosomal RNA", at positions 719 to 1520 of the family's 1533-position model. The record is from RNAcentral.
CGGGCAUAACUGGGCACCAAACGGACGCUGGAGGCUCGAAAAGUGUGGGUAGCAAAACAGGAUAAGAUACCCUGGUAGUCCACACCGUAAACGAUGAUUACUAGUUGUUGGAGGAUUGACCCCUUCAGUGCCGCAGUUAACACAAUAAGUAAUCCACCUGGGGAGUACGACCGCAAGGUUGAAACUCAAAGGAAUUGACGGGGGCCCGCACAAGCAGUGGAGUAUGUGGUUUAAUUCGACGCAACGCGAAGAACCUUACCAAGUCUUGACAUCCCUUGACAGGCAUAGAAAUAUGUUUUCUCUUCGGAGCAAGGAGACAGGUGGUGCAUGGUNGUCGUCAGCUCGUGUCGUGAGAUGUUGGGUUAAGUCCCGCAACGAGCGCAACCCUUAUGGUCAGUUACUACGCAAGAGGACUCUGGCCAGACUGCCGUUGACAAAACGGAGGAAGGUGGGGAUGACGUCAAAUCAUCAUGCCCUUUAUGACUUGGGCUACACACGUACUACAAUGGCGUUAAACAAAGAGAAGCAAGACCGCGAGGUGGAGCAAAACUCAGAAACAACGUCCCAGUUCGGACUGCAGGCUGCAACUCGCCUGCACGAAGUCGGAAUUGCUAGUAAUCGUGGAUCAGCAUGCCACGGUGAAUACGUUCCCGGGCCUUGUACACACCGCCCGUCACACCAUGAGAGCCGGGGGGACCCGAAGUCGGUAGUCUAACCGCAAGGAGGACGCCGCCGAAGGUAAAACUGGUGAUUGGGGUGAAGUCGUAACAAGGUAGCCGUAGGAGAACCUGCGGCUG